AGUGAACGCUGGCGGCAGGCCUAACACAUGCAAGUCGAGCGGCAGCGCGGGGGCAACCCUGGCGGCGAGCGGCGGACGGGUGAGGAAUUCGUCGGAAUCUGCCUUUUUGUGGGGGAUAACGUAGGGAAACUUACGCUAAUACCGCAUACGUCCUACGGGAGAAAGUGGGGGACCGCAAGGCCUCACGCAGAAAGAUGAGCCGACGACCGAUUAGCUAGUUGGUGGGGUAAAGGCCCACCAAGGCGACGAUCGGUAGCUGGUCUGAGAGGAUGAUCAGCCACACUGGGACUGAGACACGGCCCAGACUACUACGGGAGGCAGCAGUGGGGAAUAUUGGACAAUGGGCGCAAGCCUGAUCCAGCCAUGCCGCGUGUGUGAAGAAGGCCUUCGGGUUGUAAAGCACUUUUGUCCGGAAAGAAAUCCCUGGAGCUAAUACCUUCGGGGGAUGACGGUACCGGAAGAAUAAGCACCGGCUAACUUCGUG
This 484-nucleotide ribosomal RNA is filed under the name uncultured bacterium. RNAcentral describes it as "partial 16S ribosomal RNA". It matches the Rfam family "Bacterial small subunit ribosomal RNA", at positions 29 to 507 of the family's 1533-position model. The record is from RNAcentral.